This 630-nucleotide long non-coding RNA is filed under the name Homo sapiens (human). RNAcentral describes it as "HSALNT0348455". The record is from RNAcentral. Lineage: Eukaryota; Metazoa; Chordata; Mammalia; Primates; Hominidae.
GGACUUGGGCAGACAGCAUGAGAGGCAGAGUCUUUGCUUACCUGGAGGUUGCCUUCUAAUGUACUGGGCUCCUGGGAGUGCAUGAAGGCUUCUUAGAUGAAGAGUAAUGGGGAUGUCUUACACAGCAAGAUGAGAAAACACAGACCACUUGGCUCUCUAGCGAGGACCAGAAUUUGAGUCAAAAUUAUAUGAAAGCAACAGCCCACAAUUGCCUGCAUUUUCUUUCCUCUUCAAAACCACUUCUGCUCCAAAGACCAUGAACCUGAACUGAAGAAACGACUCCUUCCUGCUGGUGUGAGAUAAUUCAGUCUCCAUGAUGUCUUAAUCCUGGGCCUCCCUUAAUUGACUUCUAACUGUGCUGAACUGUGGCUGCUAGGAGUUGCAAUGUGGAUCGCAAUUUACAAGGCACUGGAAUCGUUUCUUGUCUUCAAAUUAGUCCUGAGCUGUACUGGAGAAAGAAAAAAAAGGGGCCUUUACCCUUCUUGCUGUCUUGUCACCACAAGUGAGACUUUCUUACAGUCUCAGAAUGGAUGGUUGCCUUUUAACAAUUUAGUUAGGGACAGAAAGGAAAAAGAGUUAGGGUUGCCAAUACUUCGUCAAUUUUGUCUUAAUAAAGUUGCCUCACAUGGC